This 23-nucleotide microRNA is filed under the name Petromyzon marinus (sea lamprey). Its description in RNAcentral is "pma-miR-19b-5p". Its record names the gene pma-miR-19b-5p. The record is from miRBase by way of RNAcentral. Lineage: Eukaryota; Metazoa; Chordata; Hyperoartia; Petromyzontiformes; Petromyzontidae.
AGUUUUGCAUGUUUGCUGUCGGC